This is a long non-coding RNA of Sebastes umbrosus (honeycomb rockfish), 2619 nucleotides long. RefSeq lists it as uncharacterized. The transcript is spliced from 4 exons. The record is from RefSeq and is a predicted model, not a curated record. NCBI's taxonomy places the organism in Eukaryota, Metazoa, Chordata, Actinopteri, Perciformes, Sebastidae.
GACACAUUGGGGAAGUUGUCAAAUGAUAAACCUUUGUGGUAACCUCGCUGUGUGAAGCUGUGAGUGUCCACAAACAAGCCAGGAGUCCUCGAGUCCCUCUGAGGGAGCAGCUGAUACGACUUGCCAAACAUUGUUAAUCUUCUCCAUGGGUGUGCUGCCAAUGGUCCUGUGAAAGAACAGCUGCUCCAGUUUCUCAGAGCUCACAAAGUGGAGGGAUGGAAGCAGAAGUAACAGUCUCCCAAACCUUGAUGGACAAGAACAAAGAAUGAGUGCGAGCCGUCUGGGGGCUUUCUGAAGGAAGACAAGGAGAUUAGCACCAGGCGCUGUGUCUUCGCCCAAUGUCAGCUGGGAUCGGCUCCAGCCCCCCUGCGACCCUGAAUAGGAUAAGCGGUUACAGAUAAUGGAUGAAUGGAUGAAUGGAUUCUCACAAACUACUCACUCUCCAACCAGAGACAGACUGACAGACGCAGACAGAAUGAGAAAAAUAAAGUUUUUUUUAACAUUACAGCAUGUAAACAUGUUCUAAUAGAAACAUAAAAUACAAAUAUGUACCUGAAAAUGAGCAUAAUAUGGGACCUUUAACUUUCCACAGUUUAUUGACAUUGACACAGUUUAUUGACAUAUAUAUAUAUAUAUAUAUAUAUAUAUGUGUAUAUUAUGUAAUAAGUGUAUAUUAUACACAAACCGUGGCCAACAGGCCUGGUAGCUUGGCCUAUAGUAGGGUACCUUGUAACCACUGGAUGUAAAACUAGUUAAAACAGUCAGUUAAAAUAGUUCAAACUUGACAUCAGGAUGUCUCAAAUGCACCUUUAACAACAACUUGUGAUCCUUUUUCACUUCCCAACUUUGACAUAAUAAACUAAGUUUGGGAAGUUAAUGAACACACAUUCACACUACACUAGGUUAGACGUUUGGUUGCAGUAUACAUUUACACUCAAAACACCAUCUUUAUACUGACCUAAGCAGUACCGAGUAUGGUAAUCUGGAGCCUCAUAUCAGAUUACAUAACACAGGUGUCACUCACAUGUCAGGGGUGAGCUGAUUAUCUUGUUGUUCACACUAGUAGAAAGGAAAUUUACAUGUAAGGCGCAUGCUAAAAGGUCAUUUUUGAGGAAAAUUAUUGUUUGGCUAGUUCAGACCAUUUCAAAUGUGAAAGUUAGUUUAAUUUGUUUGUGAUCACUAAUAAUACCUUUACGCUGAUAUUAUGUAUGUUCCCGAAUUGAGUUACGCAUAAGCAAAGCGUAACCUGUGAAACACAUAAUAGUCUUUUCUUGACUCUCCAGUUGUCGGCACGGGUAAAAUGCUGCUGCCAUCAGCAAAGUGCUGCUUUGAAGUUUUGCCUAGCAGGGAUAACUGUCACGUUUCUCCACUCCUCAGCCCUGUGAUUGAUGCAGCCAAUCUUUAGCAGCCCACUGCCAUGAGCGAGCUGGAUGAUUAUGUAUUUAGUGGGAACAUUUAUGAUGACAGAGUCCUGCAGGUGAUUGAACACAUGUCACUAGUAAAACCCUAGCUCAGUUGCUUGGCAGAUCAGACUGAUCAGCUGUUCAUGAGUGCCGUUACCUUUUUACAUAUUAUGAUUUUCAAAUACUUUUCACUGUAGUCAGUUGCAGUGCAUCAGACAUUGAGGACACAUGCCCUGCAGCAGGUAUACAUGUGUAAGACAUAAUUCUUUUGUCCUUCAGAGGAUGUCCUUGAAUGCUAGUUCACAAAUCUUUGUAUCAGUCUAAGCAGCUUUUUAUAUAAUCUCCAUGAAUGACAGCUAUUGUCAAAGAGUGGGAUUAACUUUUAAAGUUGUUGGCAUGCACAUGGAGCAGGUGCCUCAAGUUGCAAAGGCAUAAAAUAGGUCAUAAUUGAUUAUGUUUGUUUGUUUUUUAAUCUAAUUAUGAGCUAAAUCAUUCUAAUUUUAGGACUAUGAUAAAACAAUGUAUAUACUGUAGAUAAAUAUAUAAAGUAUAUAGAUAGACAACUUUUGGCAUCAAAAACAUACAAACCUGGACAAAAUUCUUGUCAAAUAAACUUUGAAAAAACUGUUUUUGUAUAAAUCUAAAAUGUAAAGUUACCAAUUUCUAAUGAAUAACUGUCUCAGCAGGAUAAUCUUAUGCCCGCUCAACAGCAUAAGCUUCUAUUACACUGCACUCAGCAUGUCUACCUGAUUUCAAGUAGCUGCAGAGAAUGGUUAAACAAGCUUGCAUGGUUAAGCUUUGUAGGUUCACUUCAGCAGUUCCUGUGGUCGCCCCCAAGUCAGAUGAGGUGGAAGGAUUGAGGUGUCAGCACUAUGGCUACCAGGGAUUGCCCCGCCUUGCCAUCUGCUGCCACUACUGUAAUCCACACAAUGAGAAAAUCAGUUGUCUCAGUCCGUAUCAAAGUCAUGUCAGCUCAAUUCAACAGGCAAAUCAACAUCAUUGAGAGAAAAUCCAUGUUAUUGCUGACAAAGGAACUGAGAGGCUUAUUUGAUUAUAAAAUUGCAUGCUCUUUGGCAUGGAUAAAACGGAACAUUUUAGAUAAAUUAACACAAAUUUGAAAGUAAAUUAACACUGACAUGAUUACUUUGUUUCUAACUUGAAAUUAUAUAAAUUUCUUACAGUUAAUGGGAUGAUUUUGUCACACCAUUAUCGACUG